UACAGAGGUCCCGAGCGUUGUUCGGAUUCAUUGGGCGUAAAGGGUGCGUAGGCGGCGGGGCAAGUCUGAUGUGAAAUCCUGGGGCUCAACCUCAGAACUGCAUUGGAUACGGUUUGGCUAGAGACCGAUAGAGGAAGAUGGAAUUGUGCGUGUAGAGGUGAAAUUCGUAGAUAUGCACAAGAACACCGGUGGCGAAGGCGAUCUUCUGGAGCGGUACUGACGCUAAGGCACGAAAGCGUGGGGAGCAAACAGG
Molecule: ribosomal RNA, 253 nt
Filed under: uncultured bacterium
Lineage: Bacteria
Description: partial 16S ribosomal RNA
Rfam family: Bacterial small subunit ribosomal RNA
Source: RNAcentral